UACGUAUGGUGCAAGCGUUAUCCGGAAUUACUGGGUGUAAAGGGAGCGUAGACGGUUAAUCAAGCCAGAUGUGAAAGCUAUGGGCUCAACCCAUGAACUGCAUUUGGAACUGAAUAACUAGAGUGCCGGAGGGGUAAGCGGAAUUCCUGGUGUAGCGGUGAAAUGCGUAGAUAUCAGGAGGAACACCGGUGGCGAAGGCGGCUUACUGGACGGCAACUGACGUUGAGGCUCGAAAGCGUGGGGAG
RNAcentral lists this ribosomal RNA (245 nucleotides) under uncultured Lachnospiraceae bacterium. RNAcentral's name for it is "partial 16S ribosomal RNA". It matches the Rfam family "Bacterial small subunit ribosomal RNA", at positions 524 to 768 of the family's 1533-position model. The record is from RNAcentral. Lineage: Bacteria; Bacillati; Bacillota; Clostridia; Lachnospirales; Lachnospiraceae.